UGAGGAAUAUUGGUCAAUGGACGAGAGUCUGAACCAGCCAAGUCGCGUGAGGGAAGACUGCCCUAUGGGUUGUAAACCUCUUUUAUAAGGGAAGAAUAAGUUCUACGUGUAGAAUGAUGCCUGUACCUUAUGAAUAAGCAUCGGCUAACUCCGUGCCAGCAGCCGCGGUAAUACGGAGGAUGCGAGCGUUAUCCGGAUUUAUUGGGUUUAAAGGGUGCGUAGGCGGUUUAUUAAGUUAGUGGUUAAAUAUUUGAGCUAAACUCAAUUGUGCCAUUAAUACUGGUAAACUGGAGUACAGACGAGGUAGGCGGAAUAAGUUAAGUAGCGGUGAAAUGCAUAGAUAUAACUUAGAACUCCGAUAGCGAAGGCAGCUUACCAGACUGUAACUGACGCUGAUGCACGAGAGCGUGGGUAGCGAACAGGAUUAGAUACCCUGGUAGUCCACGCCGUAAACGAUGCUCACUGGUUCUGUGCGAUAUAUUGUACGGGAUUAAGCGAAAGUAUUAAGUGAGCCACCUGGGGAGUACGUCGGCAACGAUGAAACUCAAAGGAAUUGACGGGGGCCCGCACAAGCGGAGGAACAUGUGGUUUAAUUCGAUGAUACGCGAGGAACCUUACCUGGGUUUAAAUGGGAAAUGUCGUAUUUGGAAACAGAUAUUCUCUUCGGAGCGUUUUUCAAGGUGCUGCAUGGUUGUCGUCAGCUCGUGCCGUGAGGUGUCGGGUUAAGUCCCAUAACGAGCGCAACCCUUACCGUUAGUUGCUAGCAUGUAAUGAUGAGCACUCUAACGGGACUGCCACCGUAAGGUGAGAGGAAGGCGGGGAUGACGUCAAAUCAGCACGGCCCUUACACCCAGGGCUACACACGUGUUACAAUGGCCGGUACAGAGGGCCGCUACCAGGUGACUGGAUGCCAAUCUCAAAAGCCGGUCGUAGUUCGGAUUGGAGUCUGUAACCCGACUCCAUGAAGUUGGAUUCGCUAGUAAUCGCGCAUCAGCCAUGGCGCGGUGAAUACGUUCCCGGGCCUUGUACACACCGCCCGUCAAGCCAUGGAAGCCGGGGGUGCCUGAAGUCCGUAACCGCGAGGAUCGGCCUAGGGCAAAACUGGUAACUGGGGCUAAGUCGUAACAAGGUAGCCGUACCGGAAGGUGCGGCUG
This 1154-nucleotide ribosomal RNA is filed under the name human gut metagenome. RNAcentral's name for it is "bacterial SSU rRNA". It matches the Rfam family "Bacterial small subunit ribosomal RNA", at positions 355 to 1520 of the family's 1533-position model. The record is from RNAcentral.